This 403-nucleotide ribosomal RNA is filed under the name uncultured bacterium. RNAcentral's name for it is "partial 16S ribosomal RNA". It matches the Rfam family "Bacterial small subunit ribosomal RNA", at positions 30 to 526 of the family's 1533-position model. The record is from RNAcentral.
AUUGAACGCUGGCGGCAGGCCUAACACAUGCAAGUCGAGCGAGCGGCGGACGGGUGAGUAAUGUAUGGGGACUGCCCGAUAGAGGGGGAUAACUACUGGAAACGGUGGCUACUACCGCAUACUAUCGGAUAACCCAUAUGGGAUUAGCUAGUAGGUGGGGUAAAGGCUCACCUAGGCGACGAUCUCUAGCUGGUCUGAGAGGAUGAUAGGCCACACUGGGACUGAGACACGGCCCAGAAUCCUACGGAGGCAGCAGUGGGGAAUAUUGCACAAGGGGCGAAAGCUUGAGGCAGCCAUGCAGCGUGUAUGAAGAAGGCUUUAGGGUUGUAAAGUACUUUCAGCGGGGAGGCUUUACCCAAAGAAGAAGCACCGGCUAACUCCGUGCCAGCAGCCGCGGUAAUAC